AACCCAUGUUGAGGACAUUUCAGCGGGAGUUUCUUGAAACUAUCCCUAUGUCUCAAAAGGAGACUCCAAUUCCACAUGCAUAAAGGAGGAAAUUUUAUUCCUGAGCUU
Small nucleolar RNA from Dioscorea cayenensis subsp. rotundata (Guinea yam), 108 nucleotides. NCBI's taxonomy places the organism in Eukaryota, Viridiplantae, Streptophyta, Magnoliopsida, Dioscoreales, Dioscoreaceae. The record is from RefSeq and is a predicted model, not a curated record.